UUGAACGCUGGCGGGAUGCUUUACAUGCAAGUCGAACGUGGCACGGACUUCGGUCUGGUGGCGAGUGGCGAACGGGUGAGUAAUGUAUCGGAACGUGCCUAGUAGCGGGGAUAACUACGCGAAAGGUAGCUAAUACCGCACAUUGCCCUUCGGGGAAAGCGGGGACCUUCGGGCCUCGCACUAUUGAGUAUCGACAUCGAUUAGCUAUUGGUAGCAACGCUCACCGGCGCGACGGUCCGCAGCCGGUUUGAGAGGUCACUGCCACCUGACUGCAGAUAUGCCUGACUCCUGUAUGGUGCGCGCGUGAACCUGAUAACGGGGAAACGACUCGCCCAGCCUGUGCGUGGUGCGAUGUGCCUUCGUUGUAAAGCCACUGGCAGAAGAACGCACGAUAACACCCGGCAACUGCUUGCACUUGCGUGAAUAAGCACUGACAACGCGCCAGUAAAGCCGCGUAAUACGAGCGGGCGAAUCGAAUUUACCAUGCAAGCGUGCGCAGGCGGUUCGGAAAGAAAGAUGUGAAAUCCCAGAGCUUAACUUUGGAACUGCAUUUUUAACUACCGAGCUAGAGUGUGUCAGAGGGAGGUGGAAUUCCGCGUGUAGCAGUGAAAUGCGUAGAUAUGCGGAGGAACACCGAUGGCGAAGGCAGCCUCCUGGGAUAACACUGACGCUCAUGCACGAAAGCGUGGGGAGCAAACAGGAUUAGAUACCUCUGGUAGUCCACGCCCUAAACGAUGUCAACUAGCCGUUGGGGCCUUCGGGCCUGGUAGCGCAGCUAACGCGUGAAGUUGACCGCCUGGGGAGUACGGUCGCAAGAUUAAACUCAAAGGAAUUGAUUUAGACCCGCACAAGCGGUGGAUGAUGAUUAAUUCGAUGCAACGCGAAAACCUCACAUCACCCCUUGACAUGUCUGGAAUCCCGAAGAGAUUUGGGAGUGCUCGCAAGAGAACCGGAACACAGGUGCUGCAUGGCUGUCGUCAGCUCGUGUCGUGAGAUGUUGGGUUAAGUCCCGCAACGAGCGCAACCUUGUCAUUAGUUGCUACGAAAGGGCUCUCUAAUGAGACUGCUGCCGGUGACAAACCGGAGGAAGGUGGGGAUGACGUCAAGUCCUCAUGGCCCUUAUGGGUAGGGCUUCACACGUCAUACAAUGGUCGGGACAGAGGGUCGCCAACCCGCGAGGGGGAGCCAAUCCCAGAAACCCGAUCGUAGUCCGGAUCGCAGUCUGCAACUCGACUGCGUGAAGUCGGAAUCGCUAGUAAUCGUGAUCAGCAUGUCGCGGUAACAUGUUCCUGGUCUUGUACACACUGCCCGUCACACCAUGGGAGUGGGUUUUACUCAGAAGUAGUUAGCCCAACCUCUCGUAAGGAGUGGCGAUUACCACGGUAGGAUUCAUGACUGGGGUGAAGUCGUAACAAGGUAA
This 1420-nucleotide ribosomal RNA is filed under the name uncultured Bordetella sp. RNAcentral's name for it is "partial 16S-23S ribosomal RNA intergenic spacer". It matches the Rfam family "Bacterial small subunit ribosomal RNA". The record is from RNAcentral. Lineage: Bacteria; Pseudomonadati; Pseudomonadota; Betaproteobacteria; Burkholderiales; Alcaligenaceae.